AAACCUGCCUUGGAGAUCGGGAUAGCCCGAGGAAACUCGGAUUAAUACCGAAUACCUUCAUGACAUCGCAUGGUGAUGUGAAGAAAUGUUCAGGCGCUCCAAGAUGGUCUCGCGGCCUAUCAGCUUGUUGGUGAGGUAACGGCUCACCAAGGCGAAGACGGGUAGCUGGUCUGAGAGGACGAUCAGCCACACUGGGACUGAGACACGGCCCAG
Molecule: ribosomal RNA, 213 nt
Filed under: uncultured bacterium
Lineage: Bacteria
Description: partial 16S ribosomal RNA
Rfam family: Bacterial small subunit ribosomal RNA
Source: RNAcentral